GAUGAACGCUGGCGGCGUGCCUAAUACAUGCAAGUCGAGCGAACGGACGAGAAGCUUGCUUCUCUGAUGUUAGCGGCGGACGGGUGAGUAACACGUGGAUAACCUACCUAUAAGACUGGGAUAACUUCGGGAAACCGGAGCUAAUACCGGAUAAUAUUUUGAACCGCAUGGUUCAAAAGUGAAAGACGGUCUUGCUGUCACUUAUAGAUGGAUCCGCGCUGCAUUAGCUAGUUGGUAAGGUAACGGCUUACCAAGGCAACGAUGCAUAGCCGACCUGAGAGGGUGAUAGGCCACACUGGAACUGAGACACGGUCCAGACUCCUACGGGAGGCAGCAGUAGGGAAUCUUCCGCAAUAGGCGAAAGCCUGACGGAGCAACGGCGCGUGAGUGAUGAAGGUCUUCGGAUCGUAAAACUCUGUUAUUAGGGAAGAACAUAUGUGUAAGUAAAUGUGCACAUCUUGACGGUACCUAAUCAGAAAGCCACGGCUAACUACGUG
RNAcentral lists this ribosomal RNA (497 nucleotides) under uncultured bacterium. RNAcentral's name for it is "partial 16S ribosomal RNA". It matches the Rfam family "Bacterial small subunit ribosomal RNA", at positions 28 to 507 of the family's 1533-position model. The record is from RNAcentral.